This 1447-nucleotide ribosomal RNA is filed under the name Microbacterium laevaniformans. RNAcentral describes it as "bacterial SSU rRNA". It matches the Rfam family "Bacterial small subunit ribosomal RNA". Lineage: Bacteria; Bacillati; Actinomycetota; Actinomycetes; Micrococcales; Microbacteriaceae. The record is from RNAcentral.
GCGCCUUGCGGCGUGCUACAAUGCAGUCGCACGGUGAAGCUCAGCUUGCUGGGUGGAUCAGUGGCGAACGGGUGAGUAACACGUGAGCAAUCUGCCCCUGACUCUGGGAUAAGCGCUGGAAACGGCGUCUAAUACUGGAUACGAACCGUGGAGGCAUCUUCAACGGUUGGAAAGAUUUUUUGGUCAGGGAUGAGCUCGCGGCCUAUCAGCUUGUUGGUGAGGUAAUGGCUCACCAAGGCGUCGACGGGUAGCCGGCCUGAGAGGGUGACCGGCCACACUGGGACUGAGACACGGCCCAGACACAUACGGGAGGCAGCAGUGGGGAAUAUUGCACAAUGGGCGAAAGCCUGAUGCAGCAACGCCGCGUGAGGGAUGACGGCCUUCGGGUUGUAAACCUCUUUUAGCAGGGAAGAAGCGAAAGUGACGGUACCUGCAGAAAAAGCGCCGGCUAACUACGUGCCAGCAGCCGCGGUAAUACGUAGGGCGCAAGCGUUAUCCGGAAUUAUUGGGCGUAAAGAGCUCGUAGGCGGUUUGUCGCGUCUGCUGUGAAAUCCCGAGGCUCAACUUCGGGUCUGCAGUGGGUACGGGCAGACUAGAGUGCGGUAGGGGAGAUUGGAAUUCCUGGUGUAGCGGUGGAAUGCGCAGAUAUCAGGAGGAACACCGAUGGCGAAGGCAGAUCUCUGGGCCGUAACUGACGCUGAGGAGCGAAAGGGUGGGGAGCAAACAGGCUUAGAUACCCUGGUAGUCCACCCCGUAAACGUUGGGAACUAGUUGUGGGGUCCAUUCCACGGAUUCCGUGACGCAGCUAACGCAUUAAGUUCCCCGCCUGGGGAGUACGGCCGCAAGGCUAAAACUCAAAGGAAUUGACGGGGACCCGCACAAGCGGCGGAGCAUGCGGAUUAAUUCGAUGCAACGCGAAGAACCUUACCAAGGCUUGACAUAUACGAGAACGCUGCAGAAAUGUAGAACUCUUUGGACACUCGUAAACAGGUGGUGCAUGGUUGUCGUCAGCUCGUGUCGUGAGAUGUUGGGUUAAGUCCCGCAACGAGCGCAACCCUCGUUCUAUGUUGCCAGCACGUAAUGGUGGGAACUCAUGGGAUACUGCCGGGGUCAACUCGGAGGAAGGUGGGGAUGACGUCAAAUCAUCAUGCCCCUUAUGUCUUGGGCUUCACGCAUGCUACAAUGGCCGGUACAAAGGGCUGCAAUACCGUGAGGUGGAGCGAAUCCCAAAAAGCCGGUCCCAGUUCGGAUUGAGGUCUGCAACUCGACCUCAUGAAGUCGGAGUCGCUAGUAAUCGCAGAUCAGCAACGCUGCGGUGAAUACGUUCCCGGGUCUUGUACACACCGCCCGUCAAGUCAUGAAAGUCGGUAACACCUGAAGCCGGUGGCCCAACCCUUGUGGAGGGAGCCGUCGAAGGGGUCGCGCACCCCGCAAGAGACACACGUGC